UACGUAGGGGGCUAGCGUUGUCCGGAAUCAUUGGGCGUAAAGCGCGUGUAGGCGGUUCGGUAAGUCCGCUGUGAAAGUCGGGGGGCUCAACCCUCGAAUGCCGGUGGAUACUGUCGGACUAGAGUACGGAAGAGGCGAGUGGAAUUCCUGGUGUAGCGGUGAAAUGCGCAGAUAUCAGGAGGAACACCAAUUGCGAAGGCAGCUCGCUGGGACGUUACUGACGCUGAGACGCGAAAGCGUGGGGAGCAAACAGG
This 254-nucleotide ribosomal RNA is filed under the name uncultured bacterium. Its description in RNAcentral is "partial 16S ribosomal RNA". It matches the Rfam family "Bacterial small subunit ribosomal RNA", at positions 524 to 776 of the family's 1533-position model. The record is from RNAcentral.